Molecule: ribosomal RNA, 731 nt
Filed under: uncultured bacterium
Lineage: Bacteria
Description: bacterial SSU rRNA
Rfam family: Bacterial small subunit ribosomal RNA
Source: RNAcentral
UAACGCGUAGGCGACCUACCCUUUAGACGGGGACAACNUUCCGAAAGGAGUGCUAAUACCGGAUGUGAUCAUCGUGCCGCAUGGCAGGAUGAAGAAAGAUGGCCUCUACAAGUAAGCUAUCGCUAAAGGAUGGGCCUGCGUCUGAUUAGCUAGUUGGUAGUGUAACGGACUACCAAGGCGAUGAUCAGUAGCCGGUCUGAGAGGAUGAACGGCCACAUUGGGACUGAGACACGGCCCAAACUCCUACGGGAGGCAGCAGUGGGGAAUCUUCCGCAAUGGACGAAAGUCUGACGGAGCAACGCCGCGUGAGUGAUGAAGGAUUUCGGUCUGUAAAGCUCUGUUGUUUAUGACGAACGUGCAGUGUGUGAACAAUGCAUUGCAAUGACGGUAGUAAACGAGGAAGCCACGGCUAACUACGUGCCAGCAGCCGCGGUAAUACGUAGGUGGCGAGCGUUGUCCGGAAUUAUUGGGCGUAAAGAGCAUGUAGGCGGCUUAAUAAGUCGAGCGUGAAAAUGCGGGGCUCAACCCCGUAUGGCGCUGGAAACUGUUAGGCUUGAGUGCAGGAGAGGAAAGGGGAAUUCCCAGUGUAGCGGUGAAAUGCGUAGAUAUUGGGAGGAACACCAGUGGCGAAGGCGCCUUUCUGGACUGUGUCUGACGCUGAGAUGCGAAAGCCAGGGUAGCGAACGGGAUUAGAUACCCCGGUAGUCCUGGCCGUAAACGAUGGGUACUAG